GUGCAGUGUUCAUGUACUGGAGUGUCCAGGUGGUCAGUGUUGUGUAUGAACCCCUCUCUCUCUCUCAGUGUACUGGAGUGUCCAGGUGGUCAGUGUGUGUGUAUGAACCCCCCUCUCUCUCUCAGUGUACUGGAGUGUCCAGGUGGUCUGUGUGUGUGUAUGAACCCCUCUCUCUCUCUCUCUCAGUGUACUGGAGUGUCCAGGUGGUCAGUGUUGUGUAUGAACCCCUCUCUCUCUCUCUGUAUCUCCAGAGGUCUCCCCUGCAGGUGGUCAAUGGGAUGAAGUCUGCCUCUCGUUUGCCUCUGCCCUCAGUGAAGAGGCAGAUCUCAGCCUCGGGGGUGGACAGCGGCCCAGGACACCCCCAGCCUGCCCAGAAGAGGCCGCGCACCGCCGAGCCGCCCCCAGCGACCCGCAAGACGCAGGAGGCCGCCAGCGUGGUGACCGCACGGCCGCGCCCGCUGGUGUCCAGCCACAGGGCAGGAGGUGAGGGAGGGUCAGCGGGCAGUCGGUCUCGGGGGGUCUCGCCCGCAGUGGACGGCACUUACUGGUGAUAAACUCCCUUCUCUCUCCCACAGUCAGAGCAGGCCGGCCGAUAGCAGGAGCAGCAACUGUGGCUGUCGGACCCUCGAAAGGUGAGCAGAGCUCAUAUCAGCCCACUGGGAUUAUAACCAGACUCCACUGACUGGCUGGACUGGGAGCUGGAUUAGUUCUUCACUGGGAUUGUAAUCAGACUCCACUGACACUGACAGAGCAGCCCAAGACUCUCCAGGCUGGACUGGACUGGCUGGACUGGGAGCUGGAUUAGUUCUUCACUGGGAUUAUAAUCAGACUCCACUGACAGACUGGACUGGGAGCUGGAUUAGUUCUUCACUGGGAUUUUAAUCAGACUCCACUGACACUGACAGAGCAGUCUGAGACUCUCCAGGCUGGACUGGCCUGUUGUGUCUGGAGGACGUGCUCAUGUUGACAGCACUCACAGUGUCUGAUGUGUUUCAUGCCCUCGCUGUGGUACCACUGACUCGCUGUCGUGUUUUUCAGCCAUUCAGAAGAGACCAGUGGCCUCCGUUUCGAAACCAGGUCUGUACCCACUCGUCCUGUCUGCAGCUGGUCGAUCCGAUCCUCCAGCUCGGCUCUCCCGCCAGGACUGCAGAGCCCACAGUCCUGCCCCUGAGCUCACGGGCUCUGGGCUCGUCUCUGCAGCGCCCCCCGCUGGCAGCAGCCC
Molecule: long non-coding RNA, 1222 nt
Filed under: Lepisosteus oculatus (spotted gar)
Lineage: Eukaryota; Metazoa; Chordata; Actinopteri; Semionotiformes; Lepisosteidae
Description: lncRNA (ENSLOCG00000023096.1)
Source: RNAcentral